AUGCCAUAUGUUGGAGCCACGGAUGACACGACCCAAAAUACAGUAGAUAUGUCAGCAGCACAAGGAAACCAAGCCUCUGAUUUAUAUAUAGAUGACAACGAGGAUAACCCAGAUGAGGAUUUUGGUGACGAUGAGGUCAAUGAAACACAGUCCAGAAAAUUUGUUGGUGCAAGGGAGUACUACUGCUUCAAGCUGCAGGUCAGGAAGAAGCUUUUUAACAUCAUCUUGUUUCGGGGUCGCCUUUUCCAACAGUGGGCUAUUGACAUGUAUAUCAAGAUUGAGACUAUGCGGCUUGACUGGUACUCAAAGCCGGAAAAUCAGAAGGUUAUACGCGCUGACCUCUACCAGGGUCUUGUUGACACCGUCGUUGCCGGCGAGUCGUGCGGUGAUUGA
This 393-nucleotide ribosomal RNA is filed under the name Triticum aestivum (bread wheat). RNAcentral's name for it is "partial small subunit ribosomal RNA". The record is from RNAcentral. Lineage: Eukaryota; Viridiplantae; Streptophyta; Magnoliopsida; Poales; Poaceae.